CAAGUAGCUUCCUAUGUGAAACUUUGGUUAUUCUGACACAUUCUAAGAGCUACAUCAAUAAGCUAAAGCAUUCAAAUAAUCUUCCAAACAGGAGCUCUGCCUUUCACCUAUCUACAGGAAAUUUCUCAUUUCUCUCCUAUUGGUGGGGUGUAGCAGGAUAUUUACAAGUUCAGAUAUGACCUAGAAGUAUAAGAAUGGUUCACUGCUGUUCCACAUCUGGAGGUGUAGAUGGGAUGCUCUUGGCCUGCUUCAGGGCAAAGCCAGCCAGGGAGGCUUAUCAGUGGACGAGGUACCCAAGAUGUGGAGAUGCAUUAAAAGGAAAAUAAUUCAGGUGAAGAACACCUGCUUGGCUGAGAACACCAUUAGAAGGUGAGUGUUUUUCAUAAAAUAAAUAGGAUCUUCUCUGUCA
RNAcentral lists this long non-coding RNA (409 nucleotides) under Coturnix japonica (Japanese quail). Its description in RNAcentral is "lncRNA (ENSCJPG00005008215.1)". Lineage: Eukaryota; Metazoa; Chordata; Aves; Galliformes; Phasianidae. The record is from RNAcentral.